UCCGGCUUGUCGCCGGCGGUCCCUUUAGAGUGCCCAACUGAAUGAUGGCAACUAAAGGCGAGGGUUGCGCUCGUUGCGGGACUUAACCCAACAUCUCACGACACGAGCUGACGACAGCCAUGCAGCGCCUGUGCUGGUGUUCCGAAGAGGGGCCCUCGUUUCUGAGGGCUUUCCCAUGCAUGUCAAGCCUAGGUAAGGUUCUUCGCGUUGCGUCGAAUUAAACCACAUGCUCCACCGCUUGUGCGGGCCCCCGUCAAUUCCUUUGAGUUUAAGCCUUGCGGCCGUACUCCCCAGGCGGCCAACUUCACGCGUUAGCUUCGUUACCAAGGAAUUACUUCCCCGACAACUAGUUGACAUCGUUUAGGGCGUGGACUAC
This 376-nucleotide unclassified non-coding RNA is filed under the name uncultured bacterium. Its description in RNAcentral is "contains 16S-23S intergenic spacer region". The record is from RNAcentral.